This 301-nucleotide ribosomal RNA is filed under the name uncultured bacterium. RNAcentral's name for it is "bacterial SSU rRNA". It matches the Rfam family "Bacterial small subunit ribosomal RNA", at positions 789 to 1084 of the family's 1533-position model. The record is from RNAcentral.
GGUAGUCCACGCCCUAAACGAUGGACACUAGGCGCGGGGGGUAUCGACCCCCUCCGUGCCGUAGCUAACGCGAUAAGUGUCCCGCCUGGGGAGUGCGGCCGCAAGGUUGAAACUCAAAUGAAUUGACGGGGACCCGCACAAGCGGUGGAGCAUGUGGAUUAAUUCGAUACUAACCGAAGAACCUUACCCAGACUUGACAUCGAUUGAAAAGUCCAGAAAUGGGCUCCUCCCUCACAAGGGGGACAUGAAGACACUUGUUGCAUGGCUGUCGUCAGCUCGUGCCGUGAGGUGUACGGUUAAG